This 468-nucleotide ribosomal RNA is filed under the name uncultured bacterium. RNAcentral describes it as "partial 16S ribosomal RNA". It matches the Rfam family "Bacterial small subunit ribosomal RNA", at positions 28 to 507 of the family's 1533-position model. The record is from RNAcentral.
GACGAACGCUGGCGGCGUGCUUAACACAUGCAAGUCGAACGGAAAGGCCCUGCUUUUGUGGGUUGCCCGAGUGGCAAACGGGUGAGUAACCCUUGGUUACCUUGCCCUUGCCUUUGGGAUACCUUCAGGAAACUGGGGCUAUUACCGGAUAGGAGCUCUUGCGGCUUGGUGGGGGUUGGAAGGUUUCGGCGGUUGGGGAUGGACUCGCGGCUUAUCAGCUUGUUGGUGGGGUAGUGGCUUACCAAGGCUUUGACGGGUAGCCGGCCUGAGAGGGUGACCGGCCACAUUGGGACUGAGAUACGGCCCAGACUCCUACGGGAGGCAGCAGUGGGGAAUAUUGCACAAUGGGCGGAAGCCUGAUGCAGCAACGCCGCGUGCGGGAUGACGGCCUUCGGGUUGUAAACCGCUUUCGCCUGUGACGAAGCGUGAGUGACGGUAAUGGGUAAAGAAGCACCGGCUAACUACGUG